AGUCAAAGAAUAUGUCAGCAGUUAAUGAACAGUUGUGUUGUUGGUGUGGUGGAGGUUGUUGUCUAGCAGCAGGACUGCAGUUAAUCCUACAGGAUCACUGACAGCAACACUGAGGGGAACCAGCAGGGGGCGCUCACUGCUGUCUGUUAAAUAUUACUCAUGGAAGUCACUCUGCAGUCACUGGACCACAACAGAGAGACGAUCCCACAUUAUUACACUUUGACCAUCAGAGGCUCCAAAUAAACAUGAACUCUGAUCCUUCACAGAACAAGUCCAGGAUCAGAGUCAGACUGGAGUCCAGGAUCAGAGUCAGACUGGAGUCCAGGAUCAGAGUCAGACCGGAGUCCAGGAUCAGAGCCUCAUAUCACCCUGCUGAAAAAAGUCAGAGAAACCAUUAGGUAUAUUCUAUUGGUUUCUAAUGGUUCCUGAUGGUUUGUAAUAGUUUCUAAUGGGUAGUUAUGCUUUCCUAAUGGUUAGUUCGUUUUUCUAAUGGGAUUAUAUUUUGUCCUACACAAAUCAACAUGACUUUUACUAAUAGUUCCUACAGGAGUCUAAUGGUUCCUACAGGAGUCUAAUGGUUCCCACAGAAGUCUUAAUGGUUCCUACAGGUGUUUUUAUACCAGUCUAAUGGUCACUAUACAAUGGUUUAGUGGUCACUACAGGGUGUUUUCUCUAAUGGUUCCUAUUGUGAUGGGGGAACACAGAUGUUAUACCUGUUAAGAAUUCUUCAAGUUACUGUUUUGUAUUCAUGCUUUUAUUUUGGAAGAGGCGCUCUUAUUGUUUGAUUGUGUAGCCAGUUCCUUCCUGUUUCACGAGUGCAGCGGUCAACGUGUUCACAGCAUUGUAGCAGUCACUGACGAUAAACUGCUGCUGUUGAUGCUGCCCAAGCUGAUGCUGAUGCUGUUCUACAUACAGUAAACAGUUAAACGGC
Molecule: long non-coding RNA, 931 nt
Organism: Acanthochromis polyacanthus (spiny chromis)
Lineage: Eukaryota; Metazoa; Chordata; Actinopteri; Pomacentridae
Exons: 2
Source: RefSeq, a predicted model, not a curated record